AUAUCCCAAAACAUGCUAAGUUUGUGUUCGAACGCAGCCCUGGCUGUUCCAGCUGCUGCGCGCGUAUUUUGAACUGAUGGAUUGAAAAUGUAGGUCAGGAUUCUGCGCAUAAAAUACCUACUGGAAAUGGAGAGGGGAUUCUAACAGUAAGCUACUAAUUCGUUUCACUUGGGAAACCUUAUAUAACUUUAUGUCUAGAUCACCAUCGGAAAAUCUAAAGGUCACGUUUUCGACCCAGUCGAAAAUAUCUUGGGCCUUACAUGGUUGAAUUAAAUCUCUUUGUUAUAUUUAUACCUAUUCCGAUCUUAUUUCUCUUUAUCGGAACAGCCUAGUCCUACUGAAUAAUGCAAACGAAAAAGGCCUUUAUUGUAGUCUCUCUUUUUUAAAUCGAUCAGCUGAUUUCGAUGCCUAAUUAGAAAGCAGACGACUGAAUACAGGAAAAGAUGAACGAAUAAUUUCAUAUUCAUGCACACGCACAUGUUCAUCAGCCGUGAAACAAUGAGUCUCAUAAAUGAGAUCAGACUUAUCUAUAAAGCUGCUGUUGAUGCUGUGAGACCUGGCUUCCUUGUAAACCAAGCAAUCAAAUAUUCAGACAAUGUAGUUCACAUUCAGGGAGAACUAGAGCUUGCAGUGGACAGGAAUUGCCAUGUUAUAGGAUUUGGAAAGGCUGUUUUGGCAAUGGCUCUGCAAAUAGACAAGAUUAUUGGGCAACACAUUGUGAAAGGAGUCAUAUCUAUACCUCAUGGAGUGGCUGCACAGUAUAGCUUGCCAGAUCAGUUCUUGAAUCGGUACACCAUCUAUGAAGGGGCUGUAAACAACAUUCCUGAUGAAGGUUCUUUAAAAGCUACCAAGGAAAUAGAAAACAUGGUUGCAAACUUGAAAAAUGAUGAUUUGUUGUUUGUAUUGGUAUCAGGAGGAGGUUCUGCAUUGUUGGCAUCCCUAGCUGAGGACCUCUCUUUAGAUGAGAAAAAAAAAACCAUCAAUCUACUGUCCAAGUCUGGCGCUAAUAUUCAAGAACUUAAUUCAGUGAGAAAGAAAUUGUCCCGGAUCAAAGGUGGCAAACUGGCGCAGCUUUCGUACCCUGCUACAACAAUUGCCUUAAUUCUGUCAGAUGUUAUUGGUGAUCCACUUGAUGUCAUCGCCAGUGGGCCCACGGUGAAAAACAAGGAUCCUGCGAAUAUAGGCUUGGAUAUUAUUCAAAAGUAUCAGCUUGGCAAUCAGCUACCCACCCGAGUCGUAGAAUGCCUUUCGUCCCCGACCACAAGCAAUCUGGACGAUACAAUAUUUUCCCACGUACAUAAUUUUCUAAUUGGAAGCAAUCUAAGUGCACUACAAGCAGCCGAAGCUUACGCUAACCAGACUGGUUUCGCUACAGCUAUUUUAAGCGAUCGCAUUAAUGGAGAAGCUAAAGAAAUUGGUCUGCAGUUUGCUCGAUUAGCUCGCCUUUUCGCCCAGAUGAUGACCAUGUCAAAUGAUCAGCACGAAAAAAUGGAAGAAUUGUCCGUAACUGCCGAAAACUUACACAUAGACCCGCGUUAUUGUUGCACAUUGGAGCGACUUGUACGCAGUUGCCGCAACGCACGAAAAAACUUGUGUCUGAUUGGAGGAGGAGAGACCACGGUUUCAGUUCGUGGCGAAGGCCUUGGAGGUCGUAAUCAAGAAAUGGUCCUGAGUUAUUUAGUAGAGACUGCUGUUGAGGCAUGCUCAGACGAAUUGGAUAUUGUAUUCCUAAGCGCCGGAACAGAUGGAAUUGACGGACCAACUGCAGCAGCUGGGGCUUUUUCCUGUCAGAGCCAAUUUGCUCUAGCUCAGGCACAAGGCCUCAACCCUCGGACUUAUCUGGAUAACAACGAUUCUUAUAAUUUUUUCAACCUACUUCAACAAGGGUUGAUGCGACUGUGGCGAAAUCGAGUAUGACUCUAAAUGGCUUCGAAGUACGAUACGACUGCUUCUGUCUCGCUUAAUCACUGUCUUUCAAUGUUUGUAAACCCAAGAAGAAGCAAUUGGGAUUCGGAAUUCACGUUUUCUUGACGUCCAAUUACCGGAAUAUCGAGUGGUUUUAACUGCACAGCGGGAAUAGCCUUUGUAUUGAACAACAUCAAAAGGCUUCCAUCAGAAAAGGCCGUAUAAUUGAUCAAUAAUAAUGCUGGGCUUUUAAUCGCUUUAUCGAAUGAAUUCAUCGAUUUACGUGACGGCAAUACUUUGUUUCUCAAGUCGUGGCUGUUGCUAAGGCUUUUCUCGGAAAGGCAAUAACUAAUAAACUGGGUUGCAAAUAGACAGUACACUUUUAACCCAGAAAAUAAUAUUCAGAAUUCUAGUAAUGAAUAUGGUGCAGAGGAAUGUAUAUUUUCACAAUUUCUUUCUGUAUUUCCUGUGGUAUAAUGCAGGAAAGCCCACUACCCACUUAAUUAAAAUGAGAAAGUAAAGGAAAAUUUUUGCCCAGCCAAUAAUGCAGGACACAGAAACAAUUAUCUACUUGUGUUGUUGAAUCAAUGCUCGCAGCUGUGUUUCGUUAGCUCCAGAAAACUCUGCCACCUGUAUGAAAUGCAUAUUAAAAUAAAUUGGUUUGGAUCUUUUCCAAAAGUUGA
This 2588-nucleotide unclassified non-coding RNA is filed under the name Daphnia magna. RNAcentral's name for it is "glycerate kinase, transcript variant X2". The record is from RNAcentral. Lineage: Eukaryota; Metazoa; Arthropoda; Branchiopoda; Diplostraca; Daphniidae.